RNAcentral lists this ribosomal RNA (493 nucleotides) under uncultured bacterium. RNAcentral's name for it is "partial 16S ribosomal RNA". It matches the Rfam family "Bacterial small subunit ribosomal RNA", at positions 29 to 523 of the family's 1533-position model. The record is from RNAcentral.
AACGAACGCUGGCGGUAUGCUUAACACAUGCAAGUCGUACGAAUGAGAUUUUAAGCUUGCUUAAAAUCGAGUUAGUGGCAAACGGGUGAGUAACACGUGGGAAUCUACCCAGUAGUACAGAAUAACAGUUAGAAAUGACUGCUAAUACUGUAUAGUAUCGAGAGAUUAAAGAUUUAUCGCUACUGGAUGAGCCCGCGUCAGAUUAGGUAGUUGGUGGGGUAAUGGCCUACCAAGCCAAAGAUCUGUAGCUGGUCUGAGAGGAUGAUCAGCCACACUGGAACUGAGACACGGUCCAGACUCCUACGGGAGGCAGCAGUGAGGAAUAUUGGACAAUGGGCGAAAGCCUGAUCCAGCCAUGCUGCGUGUGUGAAGAAGGCCUUAUGGUUGUAAAGCACUUUAAGCGAGGAGGAGGCUACUCUAGUUAAUACCUAGGGAUAGUGGACGUUACUCGCAGAAUAAGCACCGGCUAACUCUGUGCCAGCAGCCGCAGUAA